CCUACGGGAGGCAGCAGUGAGGAAUAUUGGUCAAUGGGCGGAAGCCUGAACCAGCCAAGUAGCGUGCAGGAUGACUGCCCUACGGGUUGUAAACUGCUUUUAUACAGGAAUAACGCGCCUUACGUGUAGGUCUUUGCAUGUACCUUAUGAAUAAGGACCGGCUAAUUCCGUGCCAGCAGCCGCGGUAAUACGGAAGGUCCGGGCGUUAUCCGGAUUUAUUGGGUUUAAAGGGAGCGUAGACGGUAUGUCAAGAGUGUUGUGAAAUGUCCGGGCUCAACCCGGGCAUUGCAGUGGGAACUGGCAUGCUUGAGUACGCGGAAGGCAGGCGGAAUGCGUGGUGUAGCGGUGAAAUGCUUAGAUAUGACGAAGAACCCCGAUUGCGAAGGCAGCUUGCUAAAGUGGAACUGACGCUGAUGCUCGAAAGCGUGGGUAUCGAACAGGAUUAGAUACCCUAGUAGUC
This 460-nucleotide ribosomal RNA is filed under the name uncultured bacterium. RNAcentral describes it as "partial 16S ribosomal RNA". It matches the Rfam family "Bacterial small subunit ribosomal RNA", at positions 338 to 795 of the family's 1533-position model. The record is from RNAcentral.